This 337-nucleotide ribosomal RNA is filed under the name Wugigarra kalamai. RNAcentral describes it as "bacterial SSU rRNA". It matches the Rfam family "Eukaryotic small subunit ribosomal RNA", at positions 1473 to 1804 of the family's 1831-position model. Lineage: Eukaryota; Metazoa; Arthropoda; Arachnida; Araneae; Pholcidae. The record is from RNAcentral.
UUAGAUGACCGGGGCCGCACGCGCGCCACACUGAGGGAAUCAGCGUGUGCUCCCCCCGUCCGGCAGGACUGGGUAACCCGCUGAACCUCCCUCGUGAUAGGGACAGGGGCUUGUAAUUGUUCCCCUCGAACGAGGAAUUCCCAGUAAGCGCGAGUCAUAAGCUCGCGUUGAUUACGUCCCUGCCCUUUGUACACACCGCCCGUCGCUACUACCGAUUGAAUGAUUUAGUGAGGUCUUCGGACUGGCGCUCGGAGCGGUGCUCGGUGCCGGGCCGACCUGCCGGAAAAAUGACCAAACUUGAUCAUUUAGACGAAGUAAAAGUCCUAACAAGGUUUCG